RNAcentral lists this ribosomal RNA (470 nucleotides) under uncultured bacterium. RNAcentral's name for it is "SSU rRNA". It matches the Rfam family "Bacterial small subunit ribosomal RNA", at positions 1 to 468 of the family's 1533-position model. The record is from RNAcentral.
GGCUUAGAGUUUGAUCCUGGCUCAGAUUGACCGCUGGCGGUAUGCUUUACACAUGCAAGUCGAACGGCAGCACGGGGCAACCUGGUGGCGAGUGGCGAACGGGUGAGUAACAUAUCGGAACAUGUCCGGAAGUGGGGGAUAACGUACCGAAAGGUACGCUAAUACCGCAUAUGCCCUGAGGGGGAAAGGCGGGGAUCGCAAGACCUGUCGCUUUCGGAGUGGCCGAUAUCGGAUUAGCUAGAUGGCGAGGUAAAGGCUCACCAUGGCGACGAUCCGUAGCUGGUCUGAGAGGACGACCAGCCACACUGGGACUGAGACACGGCCCAGACUCCUACGGGAGGCAGCAGUGGGGAAUUUUGGACAAUGGGCGCAAGCCUGAUCCAUGCCAUACCGCGUGAGUGAAGAAGGCCUUCGGGUUGUAAAGCUCUUUCGGCAGGAAAGAAAUCGCACUUACUAAUAGUUAGUGUGCG